CCCGCGCAAGCGGUGAGCAUGUGGUUAAUUCGAUGAUACGCGAAGAACCUUACCGGGGUUUGACAUGCAGGUGAUCGCCGUUGAAAGACGGUUUUCCCUCUUCGGAGGCACCUGCACAGGUGCUGCAUGGCUGUCGUCAGCUCGUGUCGUGAGAUGUUGGGUUAAGUCCCGCAACGAGCGCAACCCUUAUCCCUAGUUGCCAUCAGGUAAAGCUGGGAACUCUGGGGAGACUGCCGGUGAUAAACCGGAGGAAGGCGGGGAUGACGUCAAGUCCUCAUGGCCCUUACAUCCCGGGCUACACACGUGCUACAAUGGCAGGUACAGAGGGCUGCGAAGCCGCGAGGUGGAGCGAAUCCCAGAAAACCUGUCUCAGUCCGGAUUGAAGUCUGCAACUCGACUUCAUGAAGGCGGAAUCGCUAGUAACCGCGAAUCAGCAGGUCGCGGUGAAUACGUUCCCGGGCCUU
Molecule: ribosomal RNA, 464 nt
Filed under: uncultured Latescibacterota bacterium
Lineage: Bacteria; Pseudomonadati; Candidatus Latescibacterota
Description: bacterial SSU rRNA
Rfam family: Bacterial small subunit ribosomal RNA
Source: RNAcentral